UUUAAAAAAAUACAUGAGUAAUAGAAAGCAGCAGUUGUUGAUAGGUUACUGAUGUAAAUUGUGGAUAUGAUUGUAAUGAACUCCUGAGUAGUGGUAGUGCGUGCGUUGUAGUCUGGAGGUCCCAGGUUCGCGCCCCACCUCCGACUCAAGCUCAGCAGGUUCUUCACAAUAUGUUGGAUACGUCCUAACUACAUUAGCAUGCGAUAUUAAAAUGUUAUUUUAAAAACAGUAUUCAGAAACAAUUCUCUCUCAUACAGAUGUACUACUGCAGAUAAUGCAUAGCUUACGGUAAACAUUGUUUGUGUUACCAUUAAGAACAUCCGACAAAAUGGCAGCUGCGAUUUUAAGAUGGCAAAUGAAAUCGAGAUGUUUUAUGUUGGCAAAUGAAAUCGAGAGUGGAAUAAACAACUGGGACUAUGCCUCCUAUAAAAUCGACUGGCUACUUUAUAGAAUAAAAGAGCUGCAAGCCGUUUCUGAGGCUGAAUUCCCUGAAGAUUUAUAUAGUUUGAUUGCAGAGUUGCAGCACCUGGUCAAAUGUGAAAUAGAGAAAUGCCCUUUGCCAACCACUUCGACAAUGUCACCAGAAGUGAUUAAGUGGUUGUCCCGGAAGACCUGCGUACAUAAUUUCAAAAUCCUGUUUGGAAACCUAUCUGGAGUAUGGAAUUACUGUACCUGACAUAGCCAGUAUACUUAGUGUUAGACGUCGGAUGGAUGAGUUUGAUUAAGGGUAGCUGAUUUUUACACCAGUCUGACAGAAGAACAGAUUGAUGCAGAAGUCCUUCGGAUACUCCUGAAGCACCCCAACACUGGGUACAGAAUGAUGCAGGGAUUCCUUCGAGGGGAAGGAAUCAGUAUUACAGAUGCAUCAGUCAUGGAAUCCAUGGAGAGGGUUGAUCCUGAAGGCGUUUUAGAGCGUGCCUUGUCCCUGCACACGGUGGCGGAUAGUAGUACAUGGUGGAAUUGAUGGAUACAGCAGGAUGGUAGUUUACCUGAAAGCUGCAGCUAAUAACCAUGCUGCAACGGUGUUCCAGUCUUUCUUCAAUGCCGUACAAGAAUAUGGGCAACCAUCUAGAGUUCGUUCAGAUAAAGGACGUGAAAACACUGAUGUUGCAAGAUUCAUGGUGUCGGUAAUGGGUACAGACAGAAACAGCCAUAUUGCUGGAAAAAGUGUUCAUAACCAGAGGAUUGAGUGCUUGUGGCGUGAUGUUUUCAUCUGCGUGUUGGAAACCUUUUACCACAUGUUCUACGAGAUGGAAGCCAGGGGUGUGUGGCACCCUGAAAAUGAAGUGCACUUGUUUGCACUUCACUGGGUAUUUCUUCCCCAGUUGCAAAACCUUUUAGAGUCUUUCAGAAGAGGCUGGAACCAUCACCGCAUACGGUCAACAGGAAAUCAUCACCACUGCAAAUGUGGAUCAGAGGAAUAUCUUCUGGGAUAUCAUCUGACCCCCGACAGGUGGAUGGAGAAUAUGGUGUUGACUGGUCUUCAGAAGGCCAGUUUGAAGAUAACAACAGAGGAGUUUUAAUUCCUGAAAUCAACCUUAGAAGGCCUUUAUCAGAGGAAGAGCUUUGCACCCUUUCGAGACCCACUUGUGAGACAUUAGAAAGUGGACUGGACUUAUAUGUAAAUACUGUUGAUCACCUGAAUAAUAUUUUGUGAUUUAUUUCACAAGGUUCAACUUCCAGCUCCUACUUGAAGUCAACACAUCCUAAAAGUGUUAUUUGUUUUUAUUAUUGACGCACUGUCCAAAGCAACAAAGUUUCUGAGAAAAUAUUUAAAUGAAGUCUUUGUUCUUACCACCCUUUAAUAACAUUUUUAUUAUUUAGAUUAUUAUAUAAAUGUAUUGUUUUUUCCUAAAUAUUUUAAAGUCACAAUAAAGUACACAACUAAUCAAAGAAACUAGUAGAAUUUAAUUUGAAACAUCAGGCACAGAGUCUGAU
Molecule: long non-coding RNA, 1938 nt
Organism: Acipenser ruthenus (sterlet)
Lineage: Eukaryota; Metazoa; Chordata; Actinopteri; Acipenseriformes; Acipenseridae
Exons: 6
Source: RefSeq, a predicted model, not a curated record